This is a non-coding RNA of Camelina sativa (false flax), 287 nucleotides long. NCBI's taxonomy places the organism in Eukaryota, Viridiplantae, Streptophyta, Magnoliopsida, Brassicales, Brassicaceae. The record is from RefSeq and is a predicted model, not a curated record.
UAUCCCCUCAGAUACAUCUUUGGAUUAUGGUUGUUCUAGGAUAUGGACACCAUCUUCUGCGCAAAACUGAUCCAAGGGCAAAAGAGAGUUUGCCUUGAAGCAUUUACCUGAUGACGCUCUUUUCCCAGCUGGUGUCAAAGCUUUACGAAGUUGUGCCACCCUGUUCUCACCGAGCUUGGAAAGGUAGUAUCUCUAUCAUUUCUAGUAUAACAGGGGGAUCGUUUCAUGUAAUGGAUUACGUUGAAAGUAUGACAAGGCUUGAGAACUCCUUUGCCGAUCAUUUCGAA